CCGCUCUUGAAACUGGGCAUUUGGUUGAAGAGCAUAAGUUUCCUGACAGAGGAGGACUGACCUUUGGUCAAGGGUAUAUGAGUAGCCACGCUCCUACCACUAAACGAGCUUGUUUUGAGCUCUCAAAGGAUGUGAGAACAAGC
RNAcentral lists this small RNA (143 nucleotides) under Echinops telfairi (small Madagascar hedgehog). RNAcentral's name for it is "7SK RNA (ENSETEG00000026255.1)". The record is from RNAcentral. Lineage: Eukaryota; Metazoa; Chordata; Mammalia; Afrosoricida; Tenrecidae.